GAAAAUAAAGUGGACAGAUUGAGAAAGGAAGAGAAAUAGAAAAAAAAAGAGUAAGCGAAUAGACGAAGCGAGCGGACGAAGAAAGUUCUGGAAUUCGGAAACCGACCACGCGGCAUCGAAAACGUCUGCAAAAGUGCAAAAAGCAGGAAUGUUGCCUGACCACGAUGAUGCGAGGGAAAAGGAUUCUUAAGAAAAAUUCCCACGGAUGCAAAUUCCAGGAUUGUCUUUCCACCAACGUCUCUCGGACCUCGGACGGGUCAUUGAUGACCGGCAAGAAAAUGUGGUUCCCUUGCGACUUUUAUUCUCAUCUAGAAAGAAUUGCCUGUAAUCCAAUCCAAGUUGGACGCCGGCGGCAGGAUUCUCCCGGGAAAUGCGAGCAAAAUAGAGAGGACGGAUAAAAGACAGGAGCGAAGAGGAGAUACAAAGAGAACGGCAGACUCGAAAUUUUCUCGGAAGCAGUGCUGUGAGCGUCGCGAGAUGAAAAGCCCGUGGACAAUGGGGACAAAGGAAAUUUUCGGGGUACCGGUGGUGUUAUGUACCGGCUGGCUGGCAAGCUGCAGCUCCGUCGCCGCACCGCACCGCACCGCCACGCCGGUAGCGCG
Long non-coding RNA from Temnothorax curvispinosus, 602 nucleotides. RefSeq lists it as uncharacterized. The record is from RefSeq and is a predicted model, not a curated record. NCBI's taxonomy places the organism in Eukaryota, Metazoa, Arthropoda, Insecta, Hymenoptera, Formicidae. The transcript has 3 exons.